RNAcentral lists this signal recognition particle RNA (298 nucleotides) under Saimiri boliviensis boliviensis (Bolivian squirrel monkey). RNAcentral's name for it is "Metazoan signal recognition particle RNA (ENSSBOG00000015105.1)". It matches the Rfam family "Metazoan signal recognition particle RNA". From Rfam's summary of the family: The signal recognition particle (SRP) is a universally conserved ribonucleoprotein. Lineage: Eukaryota; Metazoa; Chordata; Mammalia; Primates; Cebidae. The record is from RNAcentral.
GCCAGGCGUGGUGGUGCGUGCCUACAGUCCCAGCUACUCAGGAGGCUGAGGUGGAAGGAUCGCUUGACCCCAGAAGUUCUGGGCUGUAGUGUGCUAUGCCAAUCGGGUAUCUGCACUAAGUUCGGCAUUAAUAUGGUGACCUCCUGGAGCCGGGGACCACCAGGUUGCCUAAGGAGGGGCGAACUGGCCCAGGUUGGAAAUGGAGAAGGUCAAAACUCCCAUGCUGAUCAGUAGUGGGAUUGUGCCUGUGAAUAGCCACUGCACUCCAGCCUGGACAACAUAGUGAGGCCCCCUUUCU